GUGCCAGCCGCCGCGGUAAUACAGAGGGUGCAAGCGUUAUUCGGAUUCACUGGGCGUAAAGGGCGCGUAGGUGGUUUAGCAAGUUUGAUGUGAAAGCCCCGGGCUCAACUCGGGAAGUGCAUCGAAUACUGCUAGGCUAGAGCAUGGGAGAGGAGGAUGGAACUCCAGGUGUAGAGGUGAAAUUCGUAGAUAUCUGGAAGAACAACAGAAGCGAAGGCGAUUCUCUGGACCAUUGCUGACACUGAGGCGCGAAAGCGUGGGGAGCAAACAGGAUUAGAUACCCCCGUAGUCC
Molecule: ribosomal RNA, 292 nt
Filed under: uncultured bacterium
Lineage: Bacteria
Description: partial 16S ribosomal RNA
Rfam family: Bacterial small subunit ribosomal RNA
Source: RNAcentral